RNAcentral lists this ribosomal RNA (112 nucleotides) under Lepisosteus oculatus (spotted gar). Lineage: Eukaryota; Metazoa; Chordata; Actinopteri; Semionotiformes; Lepisosteidae. The record is from RNAcentral.
GCCAGCAGCCAUAUCAACUCACAACUGGCAACCUACUGAAGCUAAGCAGGUGUGAGCCUGGUCAGUACCUGGAUAGGAGACCUACUGGGAAAAACUAAGGUUGCUGCUGGAA